Molecule: small RNA, 776 nt
Filed under: Pan troglodytes (chimpanzee)
Lineage: Eukaryota; Metazoa; Chordata; Mammalia; Primates; Hominidae
Description: processed transcript
Source: RNAcentral
GGACAACCUGCAUUGGACCCAGCUAUUGCUGCAGCAUUUGCCAAGGAGACAUCCCUCUUAGGGCUUCCUGUUGCAGCUGUUCCAGGAGCUCUGAGUCCUUUGGCCAUUCCAAAUGCUGCUGCAGCAGCUGCUGCAGCUGCUGCUGGCCGAGUGGGUAUGCCUGGAGUCUCAGCUGGUGGCAAUACAGUCCUGUUGGUUAGCAAUUUAAAUGAAGAGGUGUUUAUGGAGAUGUGCAGCGUGUGAAGAUUUUGUACAAUAAGAAAGACAGCGCUCUAAUACAGAUGGCUGACGGAAACCAAUCACAACUUGCCAUGAAUCAUCUUAAUGGACAGAAAAUGUAUGGAAAAAUUAUUCGUGUUACUCUGUCUAAACAUCAGACUGUACAGCUACCUCGAGAGGGACUUGAUGAUCAAGGGCUAACAAAAGAUUUUGGUAAUUCCCCAUUGCAUCGUUUUAAGAAACCUGGAUCCAAAAAUUUUCAAAACAUUUUUCCUCCUUCUGCCACCCUUCACCUAUCUAAUAUCCCUCCAUCAGUAGCAGAAGAGGAUCUACGAACACUGUUCGCUAACACUGGGGGCACUGUGAAAGCAUUUAAGUUUUUUCAAGAUCACAAAAUGGCUCUUCUUCAGAUGGCAACAGUGGAAGAAGCUAUUCAGGCCUUGAUUGAUCUUCAUAAUUAUAACCUUGGAGAAAACCAUCAUCUGAGAGUGUCUUUCUCCAAGUCAACAAUUUAAAAAUGGGAAGAUGAAGAUUGGGGGUGAAUCACAUUGUUCAAU